UACGGAGGAUGCGAGCGUUAUCCGGAUUUAUUGGGUUUAAAGGGUGCGUAGGUUGUUUUUUAAGUCAGCGGUGAAAGUUUGUGGCUCAACCAUAAAAUUGCCGUUGAAACUGGAAGACUUGAGUGUGUUUGAGGUAGGCGGAAUGCGUGGUGUAGCGGUGAAAUGCAUAGAGAUCACACAGAACACCGAUUGCGAAGGCAGCUUACAAAUCUAUAUCGGACGCUGAGGCACGAAAGCGUGGGGAGCAAACAGG
RNAcentral lists this ribosomal RNA (253 nucleotides) under uncultured Parabacteroides sp. RNAcentral's name for it is "partial 16S ribosomal RNA". It matches the Rfam family "Bacterial small subunit ribosomal RNA", at positions 524 to 776 of the family's 1533-position model. The record is from RNAcentral. Lineage: Bacteria; Pseudomonadati; Bacteroidota; Bacteroidia; Bacteroidales; Tannerellaceae.